Molecule: ribosomal RNA, 756 nt
Filed under: uncultured bacterium
Lineage: Bacteria
Description: bacterial SSU rRNA
Rfam family: Bacterial small subunit ribosomal RNA
Source: RNAcentral
AAAGCGUCUGCAGGUGGUUUCUUAAGUCUGCUGUUAAAUCUUGAGGCUCAACCUCAAAUCUGCAGUAGAAACUAGGAGACUUGAGUAUAGUAGGGGUAGAGGGAAUUUCCAGUGGAGCGGUGAAAUGCGUAGAUAUUGGAAAGAACACCGAUGGCGAAGGCACUCUACUGGGCUAUUACUGACACUCAGAGACGAAAGCUAGGGGAGCAAAUGGGAUUAGAUACCCCAGUAGUCCUAGCCGUAAACGAUGGAUACUCGAUGUUGGACGUAUCGACCCGUUCAGUAUCUUAGCUAACGCGUUAAGUAUCCCGCCUGGGGAGUACGCUCGCAAGAGUGAAACUCAAAGGAAUUGACGGGGGCCCGCACAAGCGGUGGAGGAUGUGGUCUAAUUCGAUGCAACGCGAAGAACCUUACCAGGGUUUGCUAGAAGUGUUGGUUUCCUGAAAAGGAUUCCUUAUUCCGCUUCUACAGGUGGUGCAUGGCUGUCGUCAGCUCGUGUCGUGAGAUAUUGGGUUAAGUCCCGCAACGAGCGCAACCCUUAUUUUUAGUUCUAUUGUCUAGAAAGACUGCCGGUGACAAACCGGAGGAAGGUGAGGACGACGUCAAGUCAUCAUGCCCCUUACACCCUGGGCUACACACGUCCUACAAUGGGUAAGACAAUAAGUUGCAAAUCUGCGAGGAUAAGCUAAUCUUUGAAACUUACUCCAAGUACAGAUUGCAGGCUGCAACUCGCCUGCAUGAAGGUGGAAUCGCUAG